AAAUUCGCCUUCAUGAAGCCGGAAUUGCUAGUAAUGGCAGGUCAGCAUACUGCCGUGAAUACGUUCCCGGGCCUUGUACACACCGCCCGUCACACCAUGAGAGUUGGGGAUACCCGAAGCCUGUGAGCUAACUUUUAGAGGCAGCAGUCGAAGGUAGAAUCAAUGAUUGGGGUGAAGUCGUAACAAGGUACC
Molecule: ribosomal RNA, 192 nt
Filed under: uncultured bacterium
Lineage: Bacteria
Description: partial 16S ribosomal RNA
Rfam family: Bacterial small subunit ribosomal RNA
Source: RNAcentral